This 1806-nucleotide ribosomal RNA is filed under the name Triticum aestivum (bread wheat). RNAcentral's name for it is "partial small subunit ribosomal RNA". The record is from RNAcentral. Lineage: Eukaryota; Viridiplantae; Streptophyta; Magnoliopsida; Poales; Poaceae.
AUGGAAGCAGCAGGAGAUGAGGAGAGGCCCUUGCUCCAUCACCCACAUCCUCAUCUCUAUCAGGAUGGGAAUUCAAGAUACACUAGUGAUGGAACAGUUGAUGUUGACGGACAACCUGCUGUUAAGGCAAGCACAGGGGACUGGAGAGCCUGCUUCUUUGUCCUAGGUAUCCAAUUCAGCGAAUGCCUGGCCUUCUUCGCUAUCUCCAAGAACUUGGUCACCUACCUAACCAGCGUGCUCCACGAAAGCAACAUCGACGCGGCGAGGAAUGUGUCCACUUGGAUUGGCACCACAUUCUUCACGCCGCUUGUUGGAGCUUUCUUAGCAGACACCUAUUGGGGAAGAUACAAGACAUUAGUGGUUUUCCUCUCGGUUUAUGCUCUCGGAAUGCUUGUCCUCACGGUUUCGACGACACUCCCAUGGAUGCGGCAAUCCUCCAGCAAUGAUGAGAUCCAUCGUAUCGCCGUCUACACAGGACUCUAUCUUACAGCCCUUGGCAAUGGUGGCAUCAAGCCAUGUACUUCCACUUUUGGUGCUGACCAGUUUGACAUCACCGACCCGUCGGAGCAGUUAAAGAAGGGCUCCUUCUUCAAUUGGUUCUACUUCUCGACCAGUAUUGGUUCCCUUCUAUCGACCACUAUGAUCGUGUGGGUGCAAGAUAAUGCUGGUUGGGGCAUUGGCUUCGCGGUCCCGACGAUCUUCAUGAGCCUCAGCUUCACAGUGUUCAUCGCUGGUAGGAGGAUCUAUAGGUACAAGACACUGGGAGAGAGUCCCAUGACAAGAGUGUCUCAGGUUGUUGUUGCAGCUGCAAGGAAUCACCAUAUGGAUUUGCCAGAUGAUUGCUCAACCCUACAUCACCUGCCUUCAGCACCAUUAGAGGCUACGUUCAAUGUUCACCAUACCACUCAGUUCAGAUUUUUGGACAAGGCUGCCAUUGUACCAGCACCAACAGUGGAGAAGAAAGGCACGUCGACAAGCCCGUGGAGGCUAUGCGUAGUGUCUCAUGUGGAGGAGGUGAAGAUGUUGUUGCGAUUGUGCCCCACAUGGGCGUCCUUGGUGAUAUUCUUCAUGAUCAUGUCGCAGAUGUCGUCGACGGUGAUUGAGCAGGGCAUGAUAAUGGACAACCGCGUGGGGCCAUUUGUUGUGCCGCCAGCCUCCAUCGCCAGCUUCACCGUGGUUACCACGCUCGUGCUAGUCCCCAUCUACGACAUGGUGCUGGUGCCCUUGGCCCGGCAUGCCACCGGUGAGGAUCGAGGCCUCACGCAGUCACAGCGCCUCGGCAUUGGCUUCGCGAUGUCCACACUCUGCAUGGCCUACUUGGCGCUGCUCGAGAGGAACCGGCUCGCGGUAGCCGCGACCGGGGAAAUGAUGAACAUCAUGUGGCAAGCACCGGCGUAUGUUGUGUUGGGUGCCGGCGAGGUGUUCACGGUAAUUGGCAUGUUGGAGCUCUUCUAUGACCGGUCACCAGACGGAAUGAGGAGCCUAUGCACUGCACUAUCACAGCUCGCUGUCGCGGUGGGGAACUACCUCAACUCAGCUGUGCUGGGCGUUGUCGCAUCCACAACGGUGUGGAUUUCGGAGGACCUCGACAAAGGCCACCUAGACUACUUCUUCUGGACGAUGGCGGCGCUCGGUGCCCUGAAUCUGUUGCAAUUUUUGUUCUUCUCCAUGAGAAAACUACAAAGACCUUGUCCCGUGAUUAAGUUUCAUUGGAUCGAUGGAUCAAAACUUACGCAUGGAAGAUAUAUCUAUGAACUCGAUCACUUGUGUAGUUUUCAGGAUUUGCCCAACAAAGUAUACUACUAA